UACGGAGGGUGCGAGCGUUGUCCGGAAUCACUGGGCGUAAAGGGCGCGUAGGUGGCGCGACAAGUCAACGGUGAAAGCUCGAUGCUCAACAUCGAGUCGGCCGUCGAUACUGUCGGGCUGGAGCACUGUAGAGGCUCAUGGAAUUCCGGGUGUAGCGGUGGAAUGCGUAGAGAUCCGGAAGAACACCGGUGGCGAAGGCGGUGAGCUGGGCAGUUGCUGACACUGAGGCGCGACAGCGUGGGGAGCAAACAGG
Molecule: ribosomal RNA, 253 nt
Filed under: uncultured bacterium
Lineage: Bacteria
Description: partial 16S ribosomal RNA
Rfam family: Bacterial small subunit ribosomal RNA
Source: RNAcentral